GGAGAGGUGGCCGAGUGGUUGAAGGCGGCGGCCUCGAAAGCCGUUGUGCGGUUUACCGUACCGUGGGUUCGAAUCCCACCCUCUCCGCCA
RNAcentral lists this transfer RNA (90 nucleotides) under Candidatus Hydrogenedentota bacterium. Its description in RNAcentral is "tRNA-Ser". It matches the Rfam family "tRNA". From Rfam's summary of the family: Transfer RNA (tRNA) molecules are approximately 80 nucleotides in length. Their secondary structure includes four short double-helical elements and three loops (D, anti-codon, and T loops). Further hydrogen bonds mediate the characteristic L-shaped molecular structure. tRNAs have two regions of fundamental functional importance: the anti-codon, which is responsible for specific mRNA codon recognition, and the 3' end, to which the tRNAs corresponding amino acid is attached (by aminoacyl-tRNA synthetases). tRNAs cope with the degeneracy of the genetic code in two manners: having more than one tRNA (with a specific anti-codon) for a particular amino acid; and 'wobble' base-pairing, i.e. permitting non-standard base-pairing at the 3rd anti-codon position. RNAcentral also lists the same sequence under 2 other names. Lineage: Bacteria; Pseudomonadati; Candidatus Hydrogenedentota. The record is from RNAcentral.